Molecule: ribosomal RNA, 135 nt
Filed under: Plethodontohyla notosticta (Mahanoro digging frog)
Lineage: Eukaryota; Metazoa; Chordata; Amphibia; Anura; Microhylidae
Description: partial 16S ribosomal RNA
Rfam family: Archaeal large subunit ribosomal RNA
Source: RNAcentral
CAGCCUGCCCAGUGACCAAAAGUUAAACGGCCGCGGUAUCCUAACCGUGCGAAGGUAGCACAAUCACUUGUUCUUUAAAUCAGGACCAGUAUGAAUGGCCUCACGAGAGCUACACUGUCUCCCCCCUUUAAUCAG